UACGUAGGGUGCGAGCGUUAAUCGGAAUUACUGGGCGUAAAGCGUGCGCAGGCGGUUCGUUGUGUCUGAUGUGAAAGCCCCGGGCUCAACCUGGGAAUGGCAUUGGAAACUGGCGAGCUGGAGUGUGGCAGAGGGGGGUGGAAUUCCGCGUGUAGCAGUGAAAUGCGUAGAGAUCGGAAAGAACACCGGUGGCGAAGGCGGCUCUCUGGACCGAUACUGACGCUGAGGCGCGAAAGCGUGGGGAGCAAACAGG
Molecule: ribosomal RNA, 253 nt
Filed under: uncultured bacterium
Lineage: Bacteria
Description: partial 16S ribosomal RNA
Rfam family: Bacterial small subunit ribosomal RNA
Source: RNAcentral